ACACAUGCAAGUCGAGGGGCAGCAUGGUCUUAGCUUGCUAAGACUGAUGGCGACCGGCGCACGGGUGAGUAGCACGUAUCCAACCUGCCGUCUACUCUUGGACAGCCUUCUGAAAGGAAGAUUAAUACAAGAUGGCAUCAUGAGUCCGCAUGUUCACAUGAUUAAAGGUAUUCCGGUAGACGAUGGGGAUGCGUUCCAUUAGAUAGUAGGCGGGGUAACGGCCCACCUAGUCUUCGAUGGAUAGGGGUUCUGAGAGGAAGGUCCCCCACAUUGGAACUGAGACACGGUCCAAACUCCUACGGGAGGCAGCAGUGAGGAAUAUUGGUCAAUGGGCGAGAGCCUGAACCAGCCAAGUAGCGUGAAGGAUGACUGCCCUAUGGGUUGUAAACUUCUUUUAUAAAGGAAUAAAGUCGGGUAUGUAUACCCGUUUGCAUGUACUUUAUGAAUAAGGAUCGGCUAACUCCGUGCCAGCAGCCGCGGUAAUACGGAGGAUCCGAGCGUUAUCCGGAUUUAUUGGGUUUAAAGGGAGCGUAGAUGGAUGUUUAAGUCAGUUGUGAAAGUUUGCGGCUCAACCGUAAAAUUGCAGUUGAUACUGGAUAUCUUGAGUGCAGUUGAGGCAGGCGGAAUUCGUGGUGUAGCGGUGAAAUGCUUAGAUAUCACGAAGAACUCCGAUUGCGAAGGCAGCCUGCU
RNAcentral lists this ribosomal RNA (690 nucleotides) under uncultured Bacteroidales bacterium. RNAcentral describes it as "bacterial SSU rRNA". It matches the Rfam family "Bacterial small subunit ribosomal RNA", at positions 51 to 730 of the family's 1533-position model. The record is from RNAcentral. Lineage: Bacteria; Pseudomonadati; Bacteroidota; Bacteroidia; Bacteroidales.